This 497-nucleotide ribosomal RNA is filed under the name uncultured bacterium. RNAcentral describes it as "partial 16S ribosomal RNA". It matches the Rfam family "Bacterial small subunit ribosomal RNA", at positions 28 to 507 of the family's 1533-position model. The record is from RNAcentral.
GAUGAACGCUGGCGGCGUGCCUAAUACAUGCAAGUCGAGCGAACGGACGAGAAGCUUGCUUCUCUGAUGUUAGCGGCGGACGGGUGAGUAACACGUGGAUAACCUACCUAUAAGACUGGGAUAACUUCGGGAAACCGGGGCUAAUACCGGAUAAUCUUUUGAACCGCAUGGUUCAAAAGUGAAAGACGGUCUUGCUGUCACUUAUAGCUGGAUCCGCGCUGCAUUAGCUAGUUGGUAAGGUCACGGCUUAUCAAGGCCACGAUGCAUAGCCGACCUGAGAGAGGGAUAGGCCACAUGAGAACGUAGACACGGACAAGACGACUAAGGGAGGCAGCAGUAGGGAACCUUCCGCAAUGGGCGAAAGCCUUGCGGAGCAACGGCGAGUGAGUGAUGAAGGUCUUCGGAGCGUAAAACUCGGUUAUGAGGGAAGAACAUAUGUGUAAGGAACUGUGCACAUCGUGACGGUACCUAAUCAGAAAGCAACGGCUAACUACGUG